CAUUGUCUUCACGAUGUUGGACGCGAUAUUGAAAGCGUUAACAUCGUGUUAGGCUAAGG
Molecule: microRNA precursor, 59 nt
Filed under: Pristionchus pacificus
Lineage: Eukaryota; Metazoa; Nematoda; Chromadorea; Rhabditida; Neodiplogasteridae
Description: mir-8229 microRNA precursor family
Rfam family: mir-8229 microRNA precursor family
Source: Rfam by way of RNAcentral